GCAUAUCAAUAAGCGGAGGAAAAGAAACUAACAAGGAUUCCCCUAGUAACGGCGAGCGAAGCGGGAAGAGCUCAAAUUUGAAAGCUGGCACCUUCGGUGUCCGCGUUGUAAUCUCGAGACGUGUUUUCCGUGUGGCGCUAUGGACAAGUCCCUUGGAACAGGGCAUCGUAGAGGGUGAAAAUCCCGUACUUGCCAUGGCUGUACCAUGCUUUGUGAUACACGCUCUAAGAGUCGAGUUGUUUGGGAUUGCAGCUCAAAAUGGGUGGUAGACUCCAUCUAAAGCUAAAUAUCGGGGAGAGACCGAUAGCGAACAAGUACCGUGAGGGAAAGAUGAAAAGCACUUUGGAAAGAGAGUUAAAAGUACGUGAAAUUGUCGAAAGGGAAGCGCUUGAAGUCAGCCAUGCUGCUUGAGACUCAGCCUUGCUUUUGCUUGGUGUAUUUCUCGGUAGCAAGCCAGCAUUGGUUCGAGUCGUCGGAGAAGGGUAUGAGAAAUGUGGCAUCCUCGGAUGUGUUAUAGACUUGUACUGGAUACGACGAUUUGGAUCAAGGAACGCAGUGUGCCUCUGGCGGGUCUUCGGACACCUUCACACUUAGGAUGCUGGCGUAAUGGCUUUAAGCGGCCCGUCUUGAAACACGGACC
Molecule: ribosomal RNA, 640 nt
Filed under: Malassezia pachydermatis
Lineage: Eukaryota; Fungi; Basidiomycota; Malasseziomycetes; Malasseziales; Malasseziaceae
Description: eukaryotic LSU rRNA
Rfam family: Eukaryotic large subunit ribosomal RNA
Source: RNAcentral